AGAAUCUUCAAAAAAUUUUAUAAACAUCUAGAAGGAAAUUUUAUUUUCCUUUUAGUUGAGUUUUCCUCUACUUUUUUUAACUGAAAAAACACAAGAUCGAGUAUAUAUAAGACGUGAUCAAAAUGUAAUAAUUAACAUAAAGACAUUUACAAAAAAUGUAUCUUUCAAUAAUAGCAAUUUUUGUGCUCUUGUGUAUGUCACUUCUCACAGGAGAAGUCUACGCGUGCGUUCAGAGAAAUGGCAAAUGUCGUAAAAAUUCUCAAUGUUGCAGUAAACGUUGUGGAAAACUUUCUAAGAGAUGUGAUUAAUGGAAGUUUGACAAUUCACCGAAUGGCAGUUUUCGUCCAGAUUUAGUUUUAACAUAAUUUGAUGCUCAGUUAUUUGUGUAAAGUUUCUUGUUACCUCAAUUAUUAUUAAUAAACUAUUAAAAGGUA
Leptopilina heterotoma is the source of this 434-nucleotide long non-coding RNA. RefSeq lists it as uncharacterized. The record is from RefSeq and is a predicted model, not a curated record. NCBI's taxonomy places the organism in Eukaryota, Metazoa, Arthropoda, Insecta, Hymenoptera, Figitidae. The transcript is spliced from 2 exons.